GUUAAACAAUUUUUGGGUUAUUUUGAUUUUGCAAGAAAAUGUUCAAAUUUAAUGGAAAGACUGUUGCAUCUCAAACUACAACAAACUUUGUUUUUAAAACCAACAAACUUCAUUAUCUCAAAGGUUUUUCACAUGUCUUUCUCUAUAACAAUGUUUGUAAUCUUGACAUGCUUUUCUGUUACAAGUCAACUUCCAAGUGCUCCCAAAAUUUUGACUAUUGAAAUAGCUUUCAAGAAAGUUUGGUGUAAUCAUUGGGUUGAAUGUAACUCCACUCUUGUGGUUUAUGUGUUUAAGAACUAUUUUUUUUGUCCUUUGGAGCUUGGAUAAUAGUUGGGAUAAUUACAUGGUGCUAUCUACUCAUAUGUGAUUCUUCUAUUUUCACAUUUAUCGAGAAAGAAAUGUUUAUGUUAUGUCAACAAACUUGUUUCCUUUGGUAAAUGGUACCUUCACUCAUGAUAUUUCUUUGGAG
This 469-nucleotide long non-coding RNA is filed under the name Cicer arietinum (chickpea). RNAcentral describes it as "long non-coding RNA (CARI_LNC001795)". The record is from RNAcentral. Lineage: Eukaryota; Viridiplantae; Streptophyta; Magnoliopsida; Fabales; Fabaceae.